UAGUUUGUAGUUUGCAGUUUGUAGUUUGCAGUUUGUAGUUUAUAAUUUGUAGUUU
RNAcentral lists this small RNA (55 nucleotides) under Caenorhabditis elegans. Its description in RNAcentral is "Unclassified non-coding RNA F54D12.20". Lineage: Eukaryota; Metazoa; Nematoda; Chromadorea; Rhabditida; Rhabditidae. The record is from RNAcentral.